Bubalus bubalis (water buffalo) is the source of this 563-nucleotide long non-coding RNA. RefSeq lists it as uncharacterized. The transcript has 3 exons. Lineage: Eukaryota; Metazoa; Chordata; Mammalia; Artiodactyla; Bovidae. The record is from RefSeq and is a predicted model, not a curated record.
CUCCAUCCAUGGAAUUCUCCAAGCAAAAGUACUGGAGUGGAUUGCCAUUUUCUUCUCCAAGGGAUCGAACCCACGUCUCCUACACUGCAGUCAGAUUGCUUACUGUCUGAGCCACCAGGGAAGAUGAAACCAUUAUUAUGUCACUAAAAAUCUGCAGAAUGUGUGGAAAUGUCAUCUCUCAUUCUGAUGAGUAUGCUUCCAUGCUUCAACAUUACAAUCCCCAUUUAUUAGAAGCACUACUCCUGGUUUUCAGAAGAAAACGGUCCAAAGCCACCAGGCGCUCCUAAAUCCUAAAAUAAGGGAGCAUUACAGAACUCAACACUUCUCAGUUUGUCAUGGAUAUUCAUCUAAGUAUCUGCUAGGAACUCCUCUAGAAAAUGAUGACCAAAAAAAAAAAAGAAAAUGAUGAGCAAAACCUCAUAUUGCGAAUAAUCUUAAACUAGCACCAAAGACUCCUGCAAGAAUCUUUCAGCCUUCCUCUCCCUUUCAUUAGCAAUUAAUGAGUGGGGGAGGGAGUCGGGGCCAAGGGGCGCAAGGCGGGCAGCCCUUCAGAGCCCAGCGAA